UAGUGAUGUCUGAGUACUAUCUAAUAGUUAAAACUUUCNACNNCGGAUCUCUUGGUUCUGGCAUCGAUGAAGAACGCAGCGAAAUGCGAUAAGUAAUGUGAAUUGCAGAAUUCAGUGAAUCAUCGAAUCUUUGAACGCACAUUGCGCCCUGUGGUAUUCCGCAGGGCAUGCCUGUUCGAGCGUCAUUUAACCACUCACGCCUAGCGUGGUAUUGGGGCGCGCGGUCUCGCGGCCCUCAAAAUUAGUGGCGGCGCCGGUGGGCUCUAAGCGUAGUACAUACUCCCGCUAUAGAGUUCCCCCGGUGGCUCGCCAGAACCCCCAAUUUUUUUUUACAGGUUGACCUCGGAUCAGGUAGGGAUACCCGCUGAACUUAAGCAUAUCAAUAAGCGGAGGAAAAGAAACCAACAGGGAUUACCUCAGUAACGGCGAGUGAAGCGGUAACAGCUCAAAUUUGAAAGCUGCCAACAGGCCGCGUUGUAAUUUGUAGAAGCUGCUUUGGGUGUCGGCCCGGUCUAAGUUCCUUGGAACAGGACGUCAUAGAGGGUGAGAAUCCCGUAUGUGAUCGGUGCCGUUGCCCUUGUAAAGCGCUUUCGACGAGUCGAGUUGUUUGGGAAUGCAGCUCAAAAUGGGUGGUAAAUUUCAUCUAAAGCUAAAUAUUGGCCAGAGACCGAUAGCGCACAAGUAGAGUGAUCGAAAGAUGAAAAGCACUUUGGAAAGAGAGUUAAACAGUACGUGAAAUUGUUGAAAGGGAAGCGCUUGCAACCAGACUUGCGGGCGGUCGAUCAUCCGAGGUUCUCCCCGGUGCACUCGAUCGUUCUCAGGCCAGCAUCGGUUUCCGGGGUGGGAUAAAGGCGGUGGGAAUGUGGCUCUUCGGAGUGUUAUAGCCCACCGUGCAAUGCCGCCACUGGGGACCGAGGACCGCGCUUCGGCUAGGAUGCUGGCGUAAUGGUUGUAAGCGACC
Molecule: ribosomal RNA, 961 nt
Filed under: uncultured fungus
Lineage: Eukaryota; Fungi
Description: eukaryotic LSU rRNA
Rfam family: Eukaryotic large subunit ribosomal RNA (bases 338-961)
Source: RNAcentral